RNAcentral lists this microRNA precursor (99 nucleotides) under Pan paniscus (pygmy chimpanzee). RNAcentral's name for it is "miRNA (ENSPPAG00000012298.1)". Lineage: Eukaryota; Metazoa; Chordata; Mammalia; Primates; Hominidae. The record is from RNAcentral.
UGAGGCAGGAGAAUGGCUUGAACCCAGGAAGUGGAGGCUGCAGUGAGCCGAGAUCGCGCCACUUCACUCCAGCCUGGGUGACAGAGCUAGACUCCAUCU